This 710-nucleotide long non-coding RNA is filed under the name Monodelphis domestica (gray short-tailed opossum). RNAcentral's name for it is "lncRNA (ENSMODG00000043784.1)". Lineage: Eukaryota; Metazoa; Chordata; Mammalia; Didelphimorphia; Didelphidae. The record is from RNAcentral.
CCACUGAAUGACUGGCCAUCAGAAUCCUGUACAACACUCAGACCUGCUUGCCAGAUAAGUGAGAUCCACGGAAGAAGGAGCCUCUGUAAGAUAGAGUACGUCCAAGAAAUGCCAGGCUUGUUGGCAGCAGCCGGCAACUAUCAGGCGGAGAGGUCUCUGGAGCAUCAAAGGCGUUUUCAUCCCUAUCUAUAGGGCUGGAGAUUUAGAAACGAGUGUGCUGCUCAAUAGCCUGCAAUUUAGUACAUCCUCACAAAACGAGAGCCUGCCUUAUAGUAUAUUAUCACUCCCCCCCCCCUUUUUUUUCAGCAGGCUUAACAGUUUCCUUCUUCACCAUUAUGGAGAAGUUAUCUGCAUGGACCAGGCUGUGGGCUGCGAAUCACUUUCUUUUGUGUCUGCGAUGAUGGGCCGAGUUAUUCUUUGUACUGGACCCAUGUGGGAUUUAUGCAAACCAUGCUCACUCAAGUGUCCUGGGGGAAUGUGAAGACUGUCCCAUUUUCCAGAUGAGGACAUGGAGCAUCAUGGAUAUUAUCCUCUCUACAAGAUCUCAGAAAACUGAAAAUUGGGAUACCUUCAGACUUCAAAGAAGCUUCCAAGACAAACAGAAGAUAUAUAUUUUCACCAGAAUAUUGAUGCUAAAAAGGUGGUCAUUUGCAACAAGGAGCAGCUUGGGAUCAUUGGAAAGGCUGUACAAUUUCCAGAAUUUAAUCUAG